AUCACAUCUAUGUCACCAAUAGAACCCUGUUCCCUACACCUUCCCUGCACUAUGACAUCACAUCUAUGUCACCAAUAGAACCCUGUUCCCUACACAGAACACUAUGACAUCACAUCUGUCACCAAUAGAACCCUGUUCCCUACACCUUCCCUGCACUAUGACAUCACAUCUAUGUCACCAAUAGAACCCUGUUCCCUACACAGAACACUAUGACAUCAUAUCUAUGUCACCAAUAAAACCCUGUUCUCUACACCUUCCCUGCACUAUGACAUCACAUCUAUGUCACCAAUAGAACCCUGUUCCCUACACAGAGCACUAUGACAUCACAUCUAUGUCACCAAUAGAACCCUGUUCCCUACACAGUGCACUAUGACAUCACAUCUAUGUCACCAAUAGAACCCUGUUCCCUACACAGUGCACUAUGACAUCACAUCUAUGUCACCAAUAAAACCCUGUUCCCUACACAGUGCACUACUUGGUGAGAGUGUGUUUGUUCCUGGGGUUAUAUUGCAUACAACUUUCCAAUGACGUUUCCUCACGGUUCGAUAUAAAUUAAUGUUCUCAAAUUUGUUCAGAGAACGUUAAGAAACAACGUUCUUCUUUUGGGAUUGUCAGUUCUUCAAAGCAUAAUAUUUUCUACAGGUUUUUACAGGUUUCCUCAUGGUUCUACUUAGUCACGUUCAGAGAACAUUAAAAUAUUUAAUUUCAGUACUUCAGCAUAACGUUUUCUACAGGUUUCCUCAUGGUUCUACUUAGUCACGUUCAGAGAACAUUAAAAUAUUUAAUUUCAGUACUUCAGCAUAACGUUUCCUACAGGUUUCCUCAUGGUUCUACUUAGUCACGUUCAGAGAACAUUAAAAUAUUUAAUUUCAGUACUUCAGCAUAACGUUUUCUACAGGUUUCCUCAUGGUUUUAAUUUAAAGUCGUGUUCUCAGAACAUUAAGAAAUCUUUACAUAACCACAAGAAAACAUAAGAAUGAAUGUUAUUUAAAAACAUACAUUCCUUUCUCAGCAUCUACAAAACACUCUCUGCUCUUAUCUUGUUAAGUGUGUAAAUUAAAAUUAGUACCUUUUAAAAAAAAAAUUUACAAACUUUAAAUUGAAUUAGACUGAAUGUUGCCGUUUCUCUUUUUUUUAAAUAACAAGAAAUAUUAUACUGAUGCAACUUAGUGAUUAAAGGGAUGGGUUGAUGGACAGAUGGACUGAGGUGAAAAGGGGCGUGUCUCUGGUUGGAGCACCCGAAGGGAACGGUUGCUGCUGUUCUCUUCUGGAAGCCAUUUUGUAUUUAUUUUAUUUUUUUCAAGACUUGGCUCGUUACCACGGCAACAACUUCUACUCAGUCACCGGAUACAUUCACUGCACUGUCUUACAACUGGUCAGGGCAGUAUAGUGAAGCACACAGAAAAGUUUGGAAAAUUCCAGUCGUUUUCCCAAAAUUCCCAGGUUUUCCAGUUUGGGAGAUUCCCGGAAUCAGGGGGGGAACAAGCAGGAAAUCAUGGGAAUUUAAUUGAAAGUUACUUGAAUUUUACAACCUUACACACAGAUAUAGAUAAUAAUAAUAAUAACAACAACAACAACAACAACCACCAUGCCAUGUUCAAACACGUCUUUGAGAAACUGAAACACAUUUUUUUGAUCUAUAUUUGGUCCUCUCCCUGGCCCAGUAUGAGGUAUCAGCCGUCCGUUAGCCCCGAGUCUCAGUUUCACUGUCUGUUCCACUCAGUCACAGCUUAGGUUUGUGUUUUGUAGUUUUGGCCCCGUUCACACUCAGGUUCUGCCAACUGAUCUACAACACAUUGGACACAAUGGUUUGUGAUCUGAUUUAUUUUUGUGAUGCAAUGAAGAGUUUGUUGCAGAUCCACUGAGCGGUUUCUCCACACGCUUGUGUAGUUUAUUUGUGUGCAGAAAAACUCUUGUAUGAUACAACUGGCAUCCCAAAACCGUUGUGCCAAAUAUGUUGUACGUCAGUUGUAUACGGGACCACUGUCAAGACUUCAGCCGAAGUCGGUCCCUCUCCUAGUUCGGGCGGCGUUCGACGUCACCGGCCUUCUGGCCAUCGCCGAUCCACCUUUUGAUUUUCUAUUGGUUUUGUCUGGUCUUCCCUCACACCUGGUUUCAAUUCAAUCAAUUACAUGUUGUGUAUUUAACCCUCUGUUCCCCCCCCCCAUGUCCUUGUCCAGUAUUGUUCAUUGUAAGAGUUUGUGCACGUUAUGUCUGGUGUGCGAAGGGUUUUGUCCCCAUUGUAUUUAUUUAUUGUUUUUGUUCACAGUGAUUUGUAUAAUUAAACUGCUCCGUUGUAAGACA
Oncorhynchus tshawytscha (Chinook salmon) is the source of this 2304-nucleotide long non-coding RNA. RefSeq lists it as uncharacterized. The transcript has 2 exons. The record is from RefSeq and is a predicted model, not a curated record. NCBI's taxonomy places the organism in Eukaryota, Metazoa, Chordata, Actinopteri, Salmoniformes, Salmonidae.